UACGGAGGGUGCAAACGUUGCUCGGAAUCAUUGGGCGUAAAGCGCACGUAGGCGGCUCGUUAAGUCGGAUGUGAAAGCCCCGGGCUCAACCCGGGAAGUGCAUUCGAGACUGCUCUGCUAGGGUGCGGAAGAGGGAAGCGGAAUUUCCGGUGUAGCGGUGAAAUGCGUAGAUAUCGGAAGGAACACCAGUGGCGAAAGCGGCUUCCUGGUCCAGCACCGACGUUCAGGCACGAAAGCGUGGGGAGCAAACAGG
This 253-nucleotide ribosomal RNA is filed under the name uncultured bacterium. RNAcentral's name for it is "partial 16S ribosomal RNA". It matches the Rfam family "Bacterial small subunit ribosomal RNA", at positions 524 to 776 of the family's 1533-position model. The record is from RNAcentral.